GAUGAACGCUGGCGGCGUGCCUAAUACAUGCAAGUCGAGCGAACAGACGAGGAGCUUGCUCCUCUGACGUUAGCGGCGGACGGGCGAGUAACGCGUGGAUAACCUACCUAUAAGACUGGGAUAACUUCGGGAAACCGGAGCUAAUACCGGAUAAUAUAUUGAACCGCAUGGUUCAAUAGUGAAAGACGGUUUUGCUGUCACUUAUAGAUGGAUCCGCGCCGCAUUAGCUAGUUGGUAAGGUAACGGCUUACCAAGGCGACGAUGCGUAGCCGACCUGAGAGGGUGAUCGGCCACACUGGAACUGAGACACGGUCCAGACUCCUACGGGAGGCAGCAGUAGGGAAUCUUCCGCAAUGGGCGAAAGCCUGACGGAGCAACGCCGCGUGAGUGAUGAAGGUCUUCGGAUCGUAAAACUCUGUUAUUAGGGAAGAACAAAUGUGUAAGUAACUAUGCACGUCUUGACGGUACCUAAUCAGAAAGCCACGGCUAACUACGUG
Molecule: ribosomal RNA, 497 nt
Filed under: uncultured bacterium
Lineage: Bacteria
Description: partial 16S ribosomal RNA
Rfam family: Bacterial small subunit ribosomal RNA
Source: RNAcentral